CCUCUGCUUGCUUUGUCCAUUAUACUUUUAGCCCUCUGUUGACUUUCUUUGGAGAUUUGGAAUUAUUCACUGGUUACUGGAUAAAUAUUGGGGGUUAUUGCUUGAAUUGUUAGGACUGUAGUAGCGCAAAUUUCUGGGUUGUUUGUUGAACCGGAAGGGCAUUGUGACCCCUGCAUCGCUUCUUGAAGUUGGUUAGCUAAUUUUGGUUUACUGGGUGUGUUUAGUCUCUUGAUUUCACUUGCCUUCUGUAGUCGUUUCAAUUGAGUUCAUUUGCUGCCUUUGUUGGAGCAUCUGUUGCGAGUGUGGCAUUGUAUAGCUUCUACUGUUGGCUGAUGCAUUGGUGGCCAUAGGAAGCGUUUACUCUGCUCUGUUAUAGCUAUUUCAUUGAUUUUGGACUACGUUUUGCACCAGUGGUACUGGUUGGGGUAUUUUGACUAGCAUUUGUUAUUUCCAAUUGGUUGGCUACCUGAUUGUGUUUGUGUGGUUAUUCUCCAAUUUCUAUACUGCUAUUACUGGAAUUGCUGCUUUUGAGUUGAGAAAUUAACUGUCUAUUUGGAAGCUUUGUUGAGAUUUUGGGUGGACAGAGUUUUGCAUUUGCUGGUUGAAUUGAGUUAUGAUGACUCAGAACUUGGGCGCGUACUUCCACCACAUCGGUUUCCCUCCAUCGUCCCCGCCUACCCCGUAGCCACUUGAGAGGGAAGUUUCGUUGUCCUUUUCACUUUAACUGCUUUAUUUCCUCCAUUGAGGGCAAUGUAGGAUCUAGGUGUGGGGGGGCAGCUGUGCUAGUUUUUCUACUUUUUAGUUUUUCUUAGAUGUUUUUGCUUUCUUUUUUUUUAAUUUGCUAUUUGUCCACCUCUCGUUCAAUUUCUUUCUUCCUUUUUAAUGAUUAGCUCAUAAGUGAUGCCAAAGUUUGAUGUUGGAUUAUUGCAUCUAUUUCUACUUUUGCCAAGUUUUAAUAAUAAAAGGGUGUCAAGUUAAUGUGGUUGAAUCCAAGAACAUCUCUUUGGUGAAUAUCGAUAAUUGUUUUACUCUUCUAAUUUUUUUUUGGUUAACUCUCCUAG
This 1061-nucleotide long non-coding RNA is filed under the name Coffea arabica (coffee). RNAcentral describes it as "long non-coding RNA (CARA_LNC001892)". Lineage: Eukaryota; Viridiplantae; Streptophyta; Magnoliopsida; Gentianales; Rubiaceae. The record is from RNAcentral.